RNAcentral lists this ribosomal RNA (441 nucleotides) under uncultured bacterium. Its description in RNAcentral is "partial 16S ribosomal RNA". It matches the Rfam family "Bacterial small subunit ribosomal RNA", at positions 338 to 795 of the family's 1533-position model. The record is from RNAcentral.
CCUACGGGUGGCAGCAGUGGGGAAUAUUGGGCAAUGGGCGCAAGCCUGACCCAGCAACGCCGCGUGAAGGAUGAAGGUUUUCGGAUUGUAAACUUCUGUCGCGAGGGACGAAGAAUGACGGUACCUCGUAAGAAAGCCCCGGCUAACUACGUGCCAGCAGCCGCGGUAAUACGGAGGGUGCAAGCGUUACUCGGAAUCACUGGGCGUAAAGAGCGCGUAGGCGGGAUAGCAAGUCAGAUGUGAAAUCCUAUGGCUUAACCAUAGAACUGCAUUUGAAACUGUUAUUCUAGAGUAUGGGAGAGGUAGGUGGAAUUCUUGGUGUAGGGGUAAAAUCCGUAGAGAUCAAGAGGAAUACUCAUUGCGAAGGCGACCUGCUAGAACAUAACUGACGCUGAUGCGCGAAAGCGUGGGGAGCAAACAGGAUUAGAUACCCGUGUAGUC